UUCCAUACUUAAGGUGGGUGAUUGUUAGGCAUUGUUAUAAAUUGGAAAACAUCUCGAAUCAAUUCAAGAACACUGGACUACUAGAGGUAGAUGAUUGCAACCCAUCCUUUAUGAAGAAAAUGCGCGAGUGUCGAUCCUUUUUGGGUGCAGAAGCUAAAGUAGGUUCUUCAAGUACGGAUCUAUAAAGGAUUAUAAUAAAUUCCGAAUGGCUAAUCGUGUGUUGCUCGGCGAUUGAAAUGCCUCAACUAUUCAAAUGAAGAUGAAGAUUCCUAUUCGGCAAGUGUGGCAAAAUUUCAAAGCUUUCAUAAAACUGUUUAUGAUUUGAUAUUUUCCUGUUUUUGUAAACUUUUUUUUUUUUUGGUGAUCAUUGAAACUUAUGUUUUUGGAUAUUUUCUUGAUUUAUUCGUGAGGCCAUUCUUGUAA
Erythranthe guttata (spotted monkey flower) is the source of this 423-nucleotide non-coding RNA. NCBI's taxonomy places the organism in Eukaryota, Viridiplantae, Streptophyta, Magnoliopsida, Lamiales, Phrymaceae. The record is from RefSeq and is a predicted model, not a curated record.